This 372-nucleotide ribosomal RNA is filed under the name uncultured organism. RNAcentral's name for it is "partial 16S ribosomal RNA". It matches the Rfam family "Bacterial small subunit ribosomal RNA", at positions 527 to 896 of the family's 1533-position model. The record is from RNAcentral.
GUGAGUGGCGAGCGUUAUCCGGAAUUAUUGGGCGUAAAGCGUCUGUAGGGGGACAUGCAAGUGAGUUGUAAAAGGCCUUGGCUCAACCAAGGUAGAGCAGCUCAUACUACAUGUCUUGAAGUAAGUAGGGGCAAAUGGAAUUCCCAGUGUAGGGGUUAUAUCCGUAGAUACUGGGAGGAACACCAAUAGCGAAGGCAAUUUGCUGGGCUUAUCUUGACCCUGAGAGACGAAAGCGUGGGUAGCGAACCGGGAUUAGAUACCCGGGUAGUCCACGCCGUAAACGCUGGAUACUAGGCGUAUAAGGCAUCGACCCCCUUAUGUGCCGAAGCUAACGCAUUAAGUAUCCCGCUGGGGAGUACGGUCGCAAGACUA